CCUCUCUUCUGGACUUGGUUUUCACAGGAACUUGGAAGGUUGCUGCGGAAACUCCAUUUUUAUCUUCCCAAGUCAGAUAAUUGUUUUCUGUCAGCCUGCUGAUGUGUAGAGUAGUUAGGAUUAGUGAAAGCUCUAGCGGGAUGUGUUUGAAAAGAAGAAUGUUGACACUGGGAGGUUGGUGUGAUUCCACUCUCACUUUGAUGACAAGGAAACUGAGGCACAGGGAGGUUAAGAAACUUGCCCGGGAUCAUAAAGCUGCUGAACUGAUGUGUGAAGAAUUGUAUCUCAUCAUGAUUUAAAUUCACAUUUUCCU
RNAcentral lists this long non-coding RNA (313 nucleotides) under Callithrix jacchus (white-tufted-ear marmoset). RNAcentral describes it as "lncRNA (ENSCJAG00000070715.1)". Lineage: Eukaryota; Metazoa; Chordata; Mammalia; Primates; Cebidae. The record is from RNAcentral.